RNAcentral lists this ribosomal RNA (505 nucleotides) under uncultured bacterium. RNAcentral describes it as "partial 16S ribosomal RNA". The stretch from base 20 to 328 matches the Rfam family "Bacterial small subunit ribosomal RNA", at positions 47 to 358 of the family's 1533-position model. The record is from RNAcentral.
GACGAACGCUGGCGGCGUGCUUAACACAUGCAAGUCGAACGGAAAGGCCCUGCUUUUGUGGGGUGCUCGAGUGGCGAACGGGUGAGUAACACGUGAGUAACCUGCCCUUGACUUUGGGAUAACUUCAGGAAACUGGGGCUAAUACCGGAUAGGAGCUCCUGCUGCAUGGUGGGGGUUGGAAAGUUUCGGCGGUUGGGGAUGGACUCGCGGCUUAUCAGCUUGUUGGUGGGGUAGUGGCUUACCAAGGCUUUGACGGGUAGCCGGCCUGAGAGGGUGACCGGCACAUGGGGGACCGAGAGGCGAGCCAGUGGCCGGCGGGAGGAGGGAGGGGAGAGUAUUGCACAGGGGGCGGAGGCGUGGGGCAGUGCGGGCGCGGGGGGGAUGGCGGGCGCGGGGUUGUACCCCUCGGGGCCGUGGGGGGAAGGGUGGGGGAGGGUACUGGGUAAAGACGCGCCGGCUAAGGAGGGGCCGGCGGCCGCGGACGGCGAAGGGCAAGCGUCAGAAC